This is a long non-coding RNA of Oncorhynchus keta (chum salmon), 1147 nucleotides long. RefSeq lists it as uncharacterized. The transcript is spliced from 3 exons. The record is from RefSeq and is a predicted model, not a curated record. Lineage: Eukaryota; Metazoa; Chordata; Actinopteri; Salmoniformes; Salmonidae.
ACACACACACACACACACACACACACACACACACACACACACACACACACACACACACACACACACACACACACACACACACACACACACACACACACACACACAAAUAAUCAUUUCUACAUCCCUGUGAGCAUGACGGUCUGUGCAUACUGUAUGUCCUGGUACCUUUACUAAAUAGGUUUCUAACCUCAAGGAUUUUCCUGGUUAAAUAAAAAGUGAAAUAUGUCUUGCGGACAUAUUUGGGUGAACCUAUCCUGUAAUUUCUGAGCAAUUAGGCUACUAUCUACUCAUAGACAUAGAAUCACUAGAACAGAUAUUCCCAGUCAAUGUCAAAGUCAACGUUGUGUUGUACAUUCUAUUUCUGUGGCUCUACGUUAGGAUUGAUUGGAUAGGUAUCAUCAGUUAGCUAAUGGCCUGGUACUCAGGGAUCUGCUGUCCCUCCAUCUGGUCCUAAUGGCCUGGUACUCAGGGAUCUGCUGUCCCUCCAUCUGGUCCUAAUGGCCUGGUACUCAGGGAUCUGCUGUCCCUCCAUCUGGUCCUAAUGGUCUGGUACUCAGGGAUCUGCUGUCUCUCCAUCUGGUCCUAAUGGUCUGGUACUCAGGGCUCUGCUGUCCCUCCAUCUGGUCCUAAUGGUCUGGUACUCAGGGAUCUGCUGUCCCUCCAUCUGGUCCUAAUGGUCUGGUACUCAGGGAUCUGCUGUCCCUCCAUCUGGUCCUAAUGGUCUGGUACUCAGGGCUCUGCUGUCCCUCCAUCUGGUCCUAAUGGUCUGGUACUCAGGGCUCUGCUGUCCCUCCAUCUGGUCCUAAUGGUCUGGUACUCAGGGCUCUGCUGUCCCUCCAUCUGGUCCUAAUGGUCUGGUACUCAGGGCUCUGCUGUCCCUCCAUCUGGUCCUAAUGGUCUGGUACUCAGGGCUCUGCUGUCCCUCCAUCUGGUCCUAAUGGCCUGGUACUCAGGGAUCUGCUGUCCCUCCAUCUGGUCCUAAUGGUCUGGUACUCAGGGCUCUGCUGUCCCUCCAUCUGGUCCUAAUGGUCUGGUACUCAGGGCUCUGCUGUCCCUCCAUCUGGUCCUAAUGGCCUGGUACUCAGGGCUCUACUGUCCCUCCAUCUGGUCCUAAUGGUCUGGUACUCAGGGCUCUGCUGUCCCUCCA